UGGCCAAAGUUGCAAAAAUAAGAGUUUGAAUACCACUUGUAAAUAGUCCAAGGAGCAUAACAGGUAUAGGGACUAACGGAGGUAUAGAGAUUCCC
Telopea speciosissima is the source of this 95-nucleotide long non-coding RNA. RefSeq lists it as uncharacterized. Lineage: Eukaryota; Viridiplantae; Streptophyta; Magnoliopsida; Proteales; Proteaceae. The transcript is spliced from 4 exons. The record is from RefSeq and is a predicted model, not a curated record.